RNAcentral lists this ribosomal RNA (175 nucleotides) under uncultured bacterium WkB22. Its description in RNAcentral is "partial 16S ribosomal RNA". The record is from RNAcentral.
AUUACCGCGGCUGGUGGCACGAACUUAGCCCGUGCUUCCUCCAGGGAUCGGUCAAGGUUUCCCCUUCCUCCCCCUCGACAGGAGUUUACAACCCGAAGGCCUUCGUCAUCCACGCGGCGUCGCUCGGUCAGGCUUGCGCCCAUUGCCGAAGUUCUCGACUGCUGCCUCCCGUAGG